RNAcentral lists this ribosomal RNA (910 nucleotides) under uncultured bacterium. RNAcentral's name for it is "bacterial SSU rRNA". It matches the Rfam family "Bacterial small subunit ribosomal RNA", at positions 26 to 916 of the family's 1533-position model. The record is from RNAcentral.
AGGAUGAACGCUGGCGGCGUGCUUAAUACAUGCAAGUCGAGCGAACAGACGAGGAGCUUGCUCCUCUGACGUUAGCGGCGGACGGGUGAGUAACACGUGGAUAACCUACCUAUAAGACUGGGAUAACUUCGGGAAACCCGGAGCUAAUACCGGAUAAUAUAUUGAACCGCAUGGUUCAAUAGUGAAAGACGGUUUUGCUGUCACUUAUAGAUGGAUCCGCGCCGCAUUAGCUAGUUGGUAAGGUAACGGCUUACCAAGGCAACGAUGCGUAGCCGACCUGAGAGGGUGAUCGGCCACACUGGAACUGAGACACGGUCCAGACUCCUACGGGAGGCAGCAGUAGGGAAUCUUCCGCAAUGGGCGAAAGCUUGACGGAGCAACGCCGCGUGAGUGAUGAAGGUCUUCGGAUCGUAAAACUCUGUUAUUAGGGAAGAACAAAUGUGUAAGUAACUAUGCACGUCUUGACGGUACCUAAUCAGAAAGCCACGGCUAACUACGUGCCAGCAGCCGCGGUAAUACGUAGGUGGCAAGCGUUAUCCGGAAUUAUUGGGCGUAAAGCGCGCGUAGGCGGUUUUUUAAGUCUGAUGUGAAAGUCCACGGCUCAACCGUGGAGGGUCAUUGGAAACUGGAAAACUUGAGUGCAGAAGAGGAAAGUGGAAUUCCAUGUGUAGCGGUGAAAUGCGCAGAGAUAUGGAGGAACACCAGUGGCGAAGGCGACUUUCUGGUCUGUAACUGACGCUGAUGUGCGAAAGCGUGGGGAUCAAACAGGAUUAGAUACCCUGGUAGUCCACGCCGUAAACGAUGAGUGCUAAGUGUUAGGGGGUUUCCGCCCCUUAGUGCUGCAGCUAACGCAUUAAGCACUCCGCCUGGGGAGUACGACCGCAAGGUUGAAACUCAAAGGAAUUGACGG